This 282-nucleotide long non-coding RNA is filed under the name Carica papaya (papaya). RNAcentral's name for it is "long non-coding RNA (CPAP_LNC004117)". Lineage: Eukaryota; Viridiplantae; Streptophyta; Magnoliopsida; Brassicales; Caricaceae. The record is from RNAcentral.
GGCCGUCCCCAUACUCCGUCUGGUAUGAGUGCCAAAUGACCAAGUCUCCAUACCCCGUUCGGUAUGAGACAAUGUUCAUAGUAGGGUUUUCAAUGAACCCGGUCUAUCCACCAUCUCCCAGGAUAUUUAGUGAGGCUGUCAUCUUAUCCAUUUAUCAAAUCACAUCCCAUUCCUAUUUGUCCUUAGUCUCCGUUACCAACUCAAACAUGAAUACAUAAACAAGUAACGUGCAUCCAACGAAGCAAGCAUAUCUUAGAUUCCCAAGAUCAAAUAGUAGUGAAG